Molecule: long non-coding RNA, 3331 nt
Organism: Oxyura jamaicensis (ruddy duck)
Lineage: Eukaryota; Metazoa; Chordata; Aves; Anseriformes; Anatidae
Exons: 3
Source: RefSeq, a predicted model, not a curated record
UCCUAGAAAGUCACAGCAUUCAUGUUCCUUUCAGGAAAGAAGCAUUCACCUCUUUCAGACCGUGAAGUAUUCUUCCUUCGGUAAAAAGAUAGCCUCUCCAACAGAAAACCUCAAGUCCAGCCACUGAGAAAUACUGAAGUUUGUGGGAAAAACUGCAUCCUCAAUAGAGAGGCUCUUCAGGAAGCAAAAAACAGUAAGCAGAUGCUACAGCAAACAACCCUCCUGUCAGAACCCCACCCCGAUACCUUCCUAUCAGUAAAUUCCAGCAGAACUUGUACAAAGCUGCAACACAAAAACUUGUUGGUUUUGGGUUACACGGGUUACUGUUAACACCCUGGGCAUACCUUGAACAUUACACUAAUCUUACAUGUGCGCACAAAUGUGCAUUCUUAAUGGUUCUGUAUUUGAAGUCAUUGCAUAGAACAGAUUUAGGAACAAACUCUGCUAUUAUAAUGGUGCAGAAUGCAACUCAGACUGCAACACAGCGGUACUGCUCCUAUCCAACAGUAUGCAUUUUGAUUUUCAAAAAUCCAAUACCUUAUGAAACUGGUGAUGUAGACAUGAACAAAAGUGGCCAUCAAGUACUGACAAUCAAAGCGAUCCAUUAUGCCACCGUGCCCAGGGAUUGUGUCUGCAAAAUCCUUUUGGUUGUGAAGGACAGGGAGAAAAAAUAUCAUGUUAACCGAUUCAGAUGAAGCACACUCAUCAAGCAUCACUUCACAGCAGUGUUUUAAGGCCGUCAUUAAGCUAUGGUUUUACUGCAUUGAGCCUCCUUGCUAAAGAAGUUUUUAGCUGCAAAGGUUUGUCAAGGGAUGAGACAAAAAAAAAAAAAAAAAAAAGGAAGCAAGAUGUAGCAUUCAAGUCUCCAUGUACUUGAUUCCAUUUUGAGGAAACCAUCUCAAGCUAGUGGUUGUUGUUUCUUGCCUCUUCAGGAUCUGAUUUUCCUCUUUAAGGCUUUUCUUGCAUUGUCUACUGGCAGCUGGUACUGAAGCACUUACUUCCAGGGAGUAUCUACUUGCUUCCAGCCAAGUGGUAACUUGAGAACUCUUUCCACUGUCUCCCACUGGCUUCACAAGUUGUGCAGCCCAUUCACCUGCUAGUUUUGUCACUGGCUUCUUGGUAACGUUAAUUAAAAGCCAUGAUGUGCACAAGCAAUAUAAAUACAUUGAACAGCAUCACAAAGCCUUGUCAUUAAUAAAUCACUUGUUUAGAAAAUAAUAAUAAUACUUAAGAUGCAAACAAUGGUCAAUACGCCAGCUUUGUGUUACCCAACCUUGUCUGUACAACAGCUUUAUUAUUAGUCAAGUGCCCUCACACACCCUUGAUGUCAUUCACGCUCACUUCUGGACCUUUGUCAGAUGAGCUGGCUGCCAGCAAUAGAUACAAACCCUAUGCUUGUACCGCUCCAGCAGGCACGGACUGCAUGCAUGCACUGCCUUUAAUAACAACCACACAAUAUCCCUGUCCCUGUGGUGGCCCUUUGGCUGCAGUGUGUUGUACUGAAACUGCUGCUUUUCAGAAGUACCAUUUCCCCCCCCAAAAAAGCCCUUCUUCACACCAAUGUUCCCUUGCUGCUGUAGCUAACAGUCAUGACAGCGCAAGGCUGUAGCCAGCGAACUGCUGGACAAGCUGCUUGGACCAGUGUAAGGAAGAGGAUCAAGUACAAACACAUGUAUGGGAGUUCAGCACAAACAGAGGUUUAUUUAUAUGCUUCUGUGCAAAGCACAUGCCAAAACCAGUGGACACAGGGAACAAGAGCAACAAGCAACAAGUUAAGAAUUACAGCAGUCCUACCAAGACAUAAAGGUCAGGAGAAAAUUUGGGGCUGCCCUCCUCCCAUACUCCAGCUGCACUUAAUGCCAGCCAGAGACACUAUUGCCACAAGCAACAGUGCAUACCUUGCAGUAAACAGAGGUUAGCACAUCACAUCAUUUGCCAGUACAUGUUCUUAUACAAGGCAGUGCUGCAUUGGCAAAAGCAGCCUGACACUCAUGCCCAGGUGAGCCUGACAUGUCAGCAUCUGUGUACAGCACAGACUCUGCUGGUAAAAUACAGCCAGCCAUAAUUUGAACGGCAAACUGCUGUCAGCAAUUGUUAGGUAUCUACAGGUUGCAACACGUGUCAAGUGUAAUUAUCUCACAUCUUGUUCAUCCCAAUCACUUUAGAAGCAUGACUGAGAAGAGUAAUUAUCAACCCAAAUGCAAAAAUAAAAUAAAAAAGGGAACAAUAUACCUAUAUCUGAUAAAACAAAGUGCUGCUACUGAAAAAACAGCUCAAAGAUCUUCCUAGAAAGACUAGGUACUGCACUAAAUAAAUGAAAAAAGCAAAGAAACAAAAACAACCAACAGAACAAGCUCUCUCAUUCAAAGAGACAACCAAAACACAGCCAGAUUACAGAAGUUAUGACGCACCUUGAUUUUGAAAGCUCUUUUAAAUCCACUGGCGAAGAAUCCUCCAAAUGGCCCAAUUAGGGAUGCAAAUGUUGACAGGGCAAUGCUGUGCAUCUGGAAUGGGUACAUAUUCACCGUUUCCUACGUGAAAAAUAAUAAGCAAGAUAUUUCAUUAUGUUUAAUUCUAGGCAUGUUUCAGCUCAAGUAUUUGACAAUUGGGCUGGUACAGAGCAAAUGUCCACAAAGCUUCACCCGUUCCUAAUACAAAAUAAUACUUUUCAGCCAAGCCCUUAGUUAAUCAUAAGGAAUAUUAUUUUCCCCAGCCUAGUCUUCCCAAUGCUGCUUUUCCAGCUCCAUUUCCUAUAAAGAAAGGAGCUUUCCACUAAUCCAACAAUAUUUCUGAAGACCAGGUGACUCAGUGGUCCCCAGGCACUGGUCACUGUCAUGCAAUUCACUGUCACAGUUGCUCCUUUCAAGUGCUCUCACGAGACAGACAGGAAUUUUGCUCAAGUCUGCAAUACUGGCACUGUGCGUACAUAGGGCAAUAAUGGGAGAUAAAAGUUUAACCUCUGUUAGUGUUUUUGUUUUACAAUUAACUAUCUAUUGUCCCCCUCAUUCCAUCCACAGAAUUGAAAUUUCUUUUGAUCUAUUACAGUUUUUAGGGAUAAGAGACUUAAUUAUCAGGAAGGAGAACAGGUACUCAUUGCCAAAGAUGAUAAUCAAGAUUCUAACAGCUUACCUGAGUGACACACAGUACAGUGAACAGCAUCGUCCACUUCCUGCACAAAUACCAGCAAUGAGGACACAGAGAUGUUUCCUCGUGUGGCUUCAGCAAUGCCUUUCCCUGAUGACCUCCUCCCCAAGCGAGCAAGAGAAGCUCAUAGUGUUAAUUCAGUUCUUAUCUCUCAAGAACUACCCACGUUCAUGUACCUUUCUAUAAA